CACGGACCAAGGAGUCUAGCAUGUGCGCGAGUCAUUGGGAUCUCAGAUUAAACCCAGAGGCGCAAUGAAAGUGAAAGGCGGGGCCUAGCGCCCCGCCGCGAGGGAAGAUGCGAGGGCGCCCCCGAGCGCCCCGCCGCAUUCCCGAGGCGUUUCGAGAAAGCCACCGUGUUAUUAUCGAGACGCACUGAGAGCGUACACGCUGGGACCCGAAAGAUGGUGAACUAUGCCUGGUCAGGUCGAAGUCAGGGGAAACCCUGAUGGAGGACCGAAGCGAUUCUGACGUGCAAAUCGAUCGUCGGAACUGGGUAUAGGGGCGAAAGACUAAUCGAACUAUCUAAUAGCUGGUUCCAUCCGAAGUUUCCCUCAG
RNAcentral lists this ribosomal RNA (367 nucleotides) under Hydrosalpinx sericea. RNAcentral's name for it is "eukaryotic LSU rRNA". It matches the Rfam family "Eukaryotic large subunit ribosomal RNA", at positions 660 to 976 of the family's 3401-position model. Lineage: Eukaryota; Metazoa; Arthropoda; Insecta; Trichoptera; Hydrosalpingidae. The record is from RNAcentral.